CCUACGGGAGGCAGCAGUGGGGAAUAUUGGACAAUGGGCGAAAGCCUGAUCCAGCCAUGCCGCGUGUGUGAAGAAGGCCUUCGGGUUGUAAAGCACUUUCAGUGGGGAAGAAAGCCUUGGGGCUAAUACCCUCGAGGAAGGACAGCACCCACAGAAGAAGCACCGGCUAACUCCGGGCCAGCAGCCGCGGUAAUACGGAGGGUGCGAGCGUUAAUCGGAAUUACUGGGCGUAAAGCGCGCGUAGGCGGUCUGAUAAGCCGGUUGUGAAAGCCCCGGGCUCAACCUGGGAACGGCAUCCGGAACUGUCAGGCUAGAGUGCAGGAGAGGAAGGUAGAAUUCCCGGUGUAGCGGUGAAAUGCGUAGAGAUCGGGAGGAAUACCAGUUGCGAAGGCGGCCUUCUGGACUGACACUGACGCUGAGGUGCGAAAGCGUGGGUAGCAAACAGGAUUAGAUACCCGAGUAGUC
This 465-nucleotide ribosomal RNA is filed under the name Vreelandella stevensii. RNAcentral describes it as "partial 16S ribosomal RNA". It matches the Rfam family "Bacterial small subunit ribosomal RNA", at positions 338 to 795 of the family's 1533-position model. The record is from RNAcentral. Lineage: Bacteria; Pseudomonadati; Pseudomonadota; Gammaproteobacteria; Oceanospirillales; Halomonadaceae.